GGGCGGGGCGGGGCGGGGCGGGGAAGCCCCUCAGGGCUGCGGGGCCCAGGCCUGGCCGGGCCGGGCUCGUCGGGCCACGCCGUUCGCGGUGGGCGAGGCCGGAGCAGGGCGAAGCUUCCCUGUGCAGAUGGGCGUGCUCUAUGGAUGAGCCUCGGUCCUGAAGGAUGGCCAGCAGUCCCAGGAAUAACACUUCCCUCUCUGCUCAGAAAGCCACACAAUCGGAAAAUUCCCAAGGGAAGAAGCCCCAGCACACAGAAGAAGCAAACUUCUACAUGAACUGCAGAGCAGCUUACCUGACUGUUCUGAAAAGCAGCUUAGAAAAUAUCAAAUCAAGAGAGCAGCUCAGCCUAGGUAAUGGUUUGAUCCUUUUC
Empidonax traillii (willow flycatcher) is the source of this 371-nucleotide long non-coding RNA. RefSeq lists it as uncharacterized. Lineage: Eukaryota; Metazoa; Chordata; Aves; Passeriformes; Tyrannidae. The record is from RefSeq and is a predicted model, not a curated record. The transcript is spliced from 3 exons.